UCUCCCCUGUGUGACCUAUGUACACUCUGGGCAACGAAACAGCAGGGUGCGGUGGCUCACUCCUGUAAUUCCAACACUCUGGGAGGCCAAGGCGGGCAGAUCACCUGAGUUCGGGAGUUCAAGACCACCCUCACAAACAUGGAGAAACCUGGUUGCUAGUAAAAAUACAAAAUUAGCCGGGCAUGGUGGCGCAUGUGUAUAAUGCCGGCUACUCGGGAGGCUGAGUCAGGAGAAUUGCUUGAACCCAGGAGACCUCGGAGGUUGUGGUGAGCCAAGAUUGUGCCAUUGCACUCCAGCCUGGGCAGCAAGAGUGGAACUCCAUCUCAAACAACAACAACAACAACAAAACAUAUCGAAGGGCUAACUGCACUGUCUAUAGUGACUCCCUCCUCUGAAGUCGUGAACCCUUCAAAGUCAUCUAUCAGAGUUGAAUCAGCUUUCACAAAAUUGUUGCUCUUAGAUAUGUCUUGGCAACUUAUCAGUGCUGAAAAGAAGCAUUUAAAAGCCAAAGAGAAGCUCGAGGGCAACAAUAAGGAUUUAAGGAAUCUGAAAUGGCAACCAUAAAGAAAUUCUUCUAACAGUUUUUGAAGCUUGUUAUUUCUUUAGCAAAAUGUCCUUCUUGUAGCCUUUGUGAGACCUAAAGAAGUAUUAAAAUCAAAGAGGCUUUUUUGAUGUUUGAUAGGGACUUAUCACAUAAAAUGUGUUUUAGAAUGGCAAUGACGGACUUUUCCAGUUACUCAGAGAAAAUAAGAUGUUCCAAUGUCAAGUGGAAAGUUGGAAAGUGAAUUUCGGGUGGGCAGAAAACUUC
Molecule: long non-coding RNA, 808 nt
Filed under: Callithrix jacchus (white-tufted-ear marmoset)
Lineage: Eukaryota; Metazoa; Chordata; Mammalia; Primates; Cebidae
Description: lncRNA (ENSCJAG00000084102.1)
Source: RNAcentral